RNAcentral lists this ribosomal RNA (774 nucleotides) under uncultured Neocallimastigales. RNAcentral's name for it is "partial large subunit ribosomal RNA". It matches the Rfam family "Eukaryotic large subunit ribosomal RNA", at positions 24 to 634 of the family's 3401-position model. Lineage: Eukaryota; Fungi; Neocallimastigomycota; Neocallimastigomycetes; Neocallimastigales. The record is from RNAcentral.
GUAGUCUCGCACAGAUGCAUAUCAAUAAGCGGAGGAAAAGAAACUAACAAGGAUUCCCCUAGUAACGGCGAGUGAAGCGGGAAGAGCUCAAAUUUGAAAUCUUAAAGGGUUUCCCUUUACGAAUUGUAGUUUAAAGAAGUGUUUUCUGUUGAGGUUUUGGUAAAAGUUCUUUGGAAUAGGACAUCAUAGAGGGUGAGAAUCCCGUAUUUGACCUUUACUUUCAACUUUGUGAUACACUUUCAAAGAGUCGGAUUGUUUGGGAAUGCAGUCCAAAAUGGGUGGUAAAUUUCAUCUAAAGCUAAAUAUUGGCGAGAGACCGAUAGCGAACAAGUACCGUGAGGGAAAGAUGAAAAGAACUUUGAAAAGAGAGUUAAACAGUACGUGAAAUUGUCAAAAGGGAAGCGUUUGACACCAGUGUUGUUUUUCUGAAAAUCAAUUAAAGAACUGUUUAUGCUAAGCUGUUUAGACUUUAUCAGCUAUCUGUUUAGUUUUGAGCUUUUCUUUAAUGCACUUUUCAGUUAACAAGUCAACAUCAAUUUCUUUUGCUGUAAAAAAGCUUGAGGAAGGUGGCUUGAGAUUCGUCUUAAGUGUUUAUAGCCUCUUGCCUAUGCAGUCGGAGAGAUUGAGGUCUGCAGCGUAGAUCCUUCGGGGCUAAAUGCAUUUGUGCUAAGUUAUAACAUUUUAUAGACAACUUGUUGACUAUGAUUUGUCUUGUAGCUUACUCGCUUAUGUUAUUUUACCUACGCUUAGGAUGUUGACAGCAGUAUAGACUGU